GACGGAGGGGGCUAGCGUUGUUCGGAAUUACUGGGCGUAAAGGGCGCGUAGGCGGCAAGCUAAGUUAGGCGUGAAAUCCCUGGGCUUAACCCAGGAACUGCGUUUAAUACUGGCUAGCUAGAGAUCGGUAGAGGAAAGUGGAAUUCCUAGUGUAGAGGUGAAAUUCGUAGAUAUUAGGAAGAACACCAGAGGCGAAGGCGACUUUCUGGGCCGAUACUGACGCUGAGGCGCGAAAGCGUGGGGAGCAAACAGG
This 253-nucleotide ribosomal RNA is filed under the name uncultured bacterium. RNAcentral's name for it is "partial 16S ribosomal RNA". It matches the Rfam family "Bacterial small subunit ribosomal RNA", at positions 524 to 776 of the family's 1533-position model. The record is from RNAcentral.